AUGUUCUAAUUCAAUAUCCUCAAUAUUUUAGGGGGGGGGUGGGGGGAUUCACAUUUUUUGGGUGAUAUCAUUGGGUUUUCUUAUAACUUUUCAUAGCGCUCAGUUUUUCUGAAACAAAUACAAAUACGAGGUGGGUAAUUUGUAUUGCUUAUGAUUUAUGUUAACAGUGACAUAGCUCAUCGCAUUGCUCCAGGCCAGUGGACAGUCAAGUUUGGUAGAGACAUCAAGGGUUUUCAUCACCAAACUACUGGAAAUAAUUGUGGUAUCUACAUACUUAUGAAUGCACUCAGCCUGAGCACAGAUGCUCCAUUUUGGUGUACUGAG
Molecule: long non-coding RNA, 324 nt
Organism: Gadus chalcogrammus (walleye pollock)
Lineage: Eukaryota; Metazoa; Chordata; Actinopteri; Gadiformes; Gadidae
Exons: 3
Source: RefSeq, a predicted model, not a curated record